This 383-nucleotide unclassified non-coding RNA is filed under the name Hevea brasiliensis (rubber tree). The record is from RNAcentral. Lineage: Eukaryota; Viridiplantae; Streptophyta; Magnoliopsida; Malpighiales; Euphorbiaceae.
UCCUUAGUUGAGUGUCUUCCAAUUUCAGCCGAGAAAAUGCAUAUUCCUAAUGUUUUUAGAGCCAAUGUAACAUCGUAGAAAACACGAGGUCUUCCCUUCCCACAUAAUUCAACAGGGUUAGCAACCAAGAGUUCAGUAUCUGGGCCACGGUUGGCAAUAAUCACUCGAAAUGGAUGAAGCAUUUCUGCCUUUAAACGAGAACACAAAGUGAGCUGAAGCUUAGGAUCUAUUAUCUUCCUCCCAUUGGUUUGCUGAAUGAAUAAGUCCACAUUCCGGUACCCUUUUACAUUCGAAGAGAAUCUACCAUAAGCAAUCUGGAUGUUGCAGUCUUUUGAGGUCCUCAAUAUAUCGUAAAAUAGGCCUUUCUGAUCAAUACAUUGAAU